RNAcentral lists this ribosomal RNA (466 nucleotides) under Vreelandella stevensii. RNAcentral's name for it is "partial 16S ribosomal RNA". It matches the Rfam family "Bacterial small subunit ribosomal RNA", at positions 338 to 795 of the family's 1533-position model. Lineage: Bacteria; Pseudomonadati; Pseudomonadota; Gammaproteobacteria; Oceanospirillales; Halomonadaceae. The record is from RNAcentral.
CCUACGGGUCGCUGCAGUGGGGAAUAUUGGACAAUGGGCGAAAGCCUGAUCCAGCCAUGCCGCGUGUGUGAAGAAGGCCUUCGGGUUGUAAAGCACUUUCAGUGGGGAAGAAAGCCUUGGGGCUAAUACCCUCGAGGAAGGACAUCACCCACAGAAGAAGCACCGGCUAACUCCGUGCCAGCAGCCGCGGUAAUACGGAGGGUGCGAGCGUUAAUCGGAAUUACUGGGCGUAAAGCGCGCGUAGGCGGUCUGAUAAGCCGGUUGUGAAAGCCCCGGGCUCAACCUGGGAACGGCAUCCGGGAAGGAGAAGGGGUGAAUGUCAGGGGGGGGAGGUGGAUUGCACGUUGAGGCGGCGAAAUCGGAGAGUGACGGGGGAAAUGGCGUGGGCGAAGGGGGCCUUCUGGACGGAAACGAACGCUGGGCUGCGAAGGCGUGGGUAGCAACCAGGAUUAGAUACCAUGUAGUC